RNAcentral lists this ribosomal RNA (405 nucleotides) under uncultured bacterium. RNAcentral's name for it is "partial 16S ribosomal RNA". It matches the Rfam family "Bacterial small subunit ribosomal RNA", at positions 30 to 526 of the family's 1533-position model. The record is from RNAcentral.
AUUGAACGCUAGCGGGAUGCUUUACACAUGCAAGUCGAACGAGUGGCGGACGGGUGAGUAAUAUAUCGGAAAGUGCCCAGUAGCGGGGGAUAACUACGCUAAAGAGUGGCUAUUACCGCAUACGAUUGGAGCGGCGGAUAUCGGAUUAGCGAGUUGGUGGGGUAAAGGCUCACCAAGGCAACGAUCCGUAGCGGGUUUGAGAGGACGAUCAGCCACACUGGGACUGAGACACGGCCCAGACUCCUACGGGAGGCAGCAGUGGGGAAUUUUGGACAAUGGGGGAAACCCUGAUGCAGCCAUCCCGCGUGUAUGAGAAGGCCUUCGGGUUGUAAAGUACUUUUGGCGGAGAAGCGGUAUCUGCAGAAUAAGCACCGGCUAACUACGUGCCAGCAGCCGCGGUAAUAC